AGCAGCCGCGGUAAUUCCAGCUCCAAUAGCGUAUAUUAAAGUUGUUGCAGUUAAAAAGCUCGUAGUUGAAUUUCGGGAUUAGUAAGUUGGUCGUGCCUCUGGUAUGUACUGGCUUUACUGGUUCCUCCUUCUUGAAGAACUGUAAUGUCAUUAAUUUGGUGUUGCAGGGAAACAGGACUGUUACUUUGAAAAAAUUAGAGUGUUUAAAGCAGGCUAACGCUUGAAUACAUUAGCAUGGAAUAAUGAAAUAGGACGUUUGAUCCUAUUUUGUUGGUUUCUAGGAUUGACGUAAUGAUUAAUAGGGAUAGUUGGGGGCAUUAGUAUUCAAUUGUCAGAGGUGAAAUUCUUGGAUUUAUUGAAGACUAACUACUGCGAAAGCAUUUGCCAAGGAUGUUUUCAUUAAUCAAGAACGAAAGUUAGGGGAUCGAAGACGAUCAGAUACCGUCGUAGUCUUAACCAUAAACUAUGCCGACUAGGGAUCGGAUGAUGUUAAUUUUUUAAUGACUCA
RNAcentral lists this ribosomal RNA (508 nucleotides) under uncultured Sclerocystis. RNAcentral's name for it is "SSU rRNA". It matches the Rfam family "Eukaryotic small subunit ribosomal RNA", at positions 569 to 1078 of the family's 1831-position model. The record is from RNAcentral. Lineage: Eukaryota; Fungi; Glomeromycota; Glomeromycetes; Glomerales; Glomeraceae.